AUUGAACGCUGGCGGCAUGCUUUACACAUGCAAGUCGAACGGUAACAGGCCUUCGGGUGCUGACGAGUGGCGAACGGGUGAGUAAUGCAUCGGAACGUACCCAGAGGUGGGGGAUAACGCAGCGAAAGCUGUGCUAAUACCGCAUGUGAUCUGAGGAUGAAAGCGGGGGACCGAGCAGCAAUGUUUGGCCUCGCGCCUUUGGAGCGGCCGAUGUCGGAUUAGCUAGUUGGUGGGGUAAAGGCCUACCAAGGCGACGAUCCGUAGCUGGUCUGAGAGGACGACCACCCACACUGGGACGGAGACACGGCCCAGACUCCUACGGGAGGCAGCAGUGGGGAAUUUUGGACAAUGGGCGCAAGCCUGAUCCAGCAAUGCCGCGUGCGGGAAGAAGGCCUUCGGGUUGUAAACCGCUUUUGGCAGGAACGAAACGGUGUCCGCUAAUACCGGGCGCUAAUGACGGUACCUGCAGAAUAAGCACCGGCUAACUACGUG
This 492-nucleotide ribosomal RNA is filed under the name uncultured bacterium. RNAcentral's name for it is "partial 16S ribosomal RNA". It matches the Rfam family "Bacterial small subunit ribosomal RNA", at positions 29 to 507 of the family's 1533-position model. The record is from RNAcentral.